This 925-nucleotide ribosomal RNA is filed under the name uncultured Lentimicrobium sp. RNAcentral's name for it is "bacterial SSU rRNA". It matches the Rfam family "Bacterial small subunit ribosomal RNA", at positions 11 to 935 of the family's 1533-position model. The record is from RNAcentral. Lineage: Bacteria; Pseudomonadati; Bacteroidota; Bacteroidia; Bacteroidales; Lentimicrobiaceae.
GUUUGAUCCUGGCUCAGGAUGAACGCUAGCGGCAGGCUUAAUACAUGCAAGUCGAACGGGAUUCGGGGUAGCAAUACUUUGAUGAGAGUGGCGCACGGGUGCGUAACGCGUAUGCAACCUACCUUUAACAGGGGAAUAGCCCCGAGAAAUCGGGAUUAAUACUCCGUAACAUUGCGGUGUGGCAUCACACUGCACUUAAAGCUGAGGCGGUUAAAGAUGGGCAUGCGUGACAUUAGCUAGUUGGUGAGGUAACGGCUCACCAAGGCAACGAUGUCUAGGGGUCCUGAGAGGGUUAUCCCCCACACUGGUACUGAGACACGGACCAGACUCCUACGGGAGGCAGCAGUAAGGAAUAUUGGUCAAUGGGCGCAAGCCUGAACCAGCCAUGCCGCGUGCAGGAAGACGGCCCUAUGGGUUGUAAACUGCUUUUGUCAGGGAAUAAACCCCCGCUCGUGAGCGGGGCUGAAGGUACCUGAAGAAUAAGCAUCGGCUAACUCCGUGCCAGCAGCCGCGGUAAUACGGAGGAUGCAAGCGUUAUCCGGAUUCAUUGGGUUUAAAGGGUGCGCAGGCGGAUUGGUAAGUCAGGGGUGAAAUCCCACAGCUCAACUGUGGAACUGCCUUUGAUACUGUCAGUCUAGAGUAUAGUUGAAGUUGGCGGAAUGUGUCAUGUAGCGGUGAAAUGCUUAGAUAUGACACAGAACACCGAUCGCGAAGGCAGCUAGCUAAGCUAUAACUGACGCUCAUGCACGAAAGCGUGGGGAUCAAACAGGAUUAGAUACCCUGGUAGUCCACGCUGUAAACGAUGAUUACUCGAUGUUGGCGAUACACAGUCAGCGUCUGAGCGAAAGCAAUAAGUAAUCCACCUGGGGAGUACGAUCGCAAGAUUGAAACUCAAGGAAUUGACGGGGGCCCGCACAAGCGGAGA